Molecule: ribosomal RNA, 460 nt
Filed under: uncultured bacterium
Lineage: Bacteria
Description: partial 16S ribosomal RNA
Rfam family: Bacterial small subunit ribosomal RNA
Source: RNAcentral
CCUACGGGAGGCAGCAGUGAGGAAUAUUGGUCAAUGGGCUUACGCCUGAACCAGCCAAGUCGCGUGAGGGAAGACUGCCCUAUGGGUUGUAAACCUCUUUUGUCAGGGAGCAACGCCGGCUACGUGUAGCCGGACUGAGAGUACCUGAAGAAAAAGCAUCGGCUAACUCCGUGCCAGCAGCCGCGGUAAUACGGAGGAUGCGAGCUUUCUCCGGGUUUAUUGGGUUUAAAGGGUGCGUAGGCGGAAUGCCAAGUCAGCGGUAAAAUCGCGGGGCUCAACCUCGCUCCGCCGUUGAAACUGGCGGUCUGGAGUGGGCGAGAAGUAGGCGGAAUGCGUGGUGUAGCGGUGAAAUGCAUAGAUAUCACGCAGAACUCCGAUUGCGAAGGCAGCAUACCGGGGCCCAACUGACGCUGAAGCACGAAAGCGUGGGUAUCGAACAGGAUUAGAUACCCGAGUAGUC